CUUUUAUCUUAUGGGAUCACAUGGCAGUUAUUUUGAACAGUUAAUGGUUUUCAGAUGGGCAACUAGAUCUUUGAAAAUGCAAUUUUCUGUAUAACCAUGGUAAUAAAAAAACCAGCAUAGCAACUGAAGAAGGGAAGCCAAAAGUUGACAAGAUGGUUUGAUGGGAUUCAUUUUUAAUGGUAUCUGUUGACCUGAAAACAAAAUGCCCUGCGCUUUCUGAGCUGUUCACCAACUCUGUUGACCUGCUGAGAGGACCAAAAGCUGCAGAAGAAUGACUGACAAGGGAGAGCCUUCUCCGCCUAUAGAAUAGUCUGCCCUAACGGCACCGAGUGAGAAUUAGAGGCCAUUUCAGGAGAUUUACUUGCUGUCCCCUUCUUUUUCAGCGGCUCGGUGCUUCAGAAAAGAUUUGAAAGGUGUAAGGCUCUCAUUAGGGAGGCUACAACAUGCUUCUCCAGGGCUGAGUUUACACAGGCAGAAAAUAAACUUGUUGGAAGCUCAGUAUCUGACAUGGCUCAGAGAAUCCAGCCAGGAAGGCAGCAUUUCUGGAGCUGAAACCUGAAUUAAAGAGCAAUCCCAUCAGAAAAGAGUGUUAAGUCACUGCCUUUGCUUCGGAAGUAUUGGCUCUCGUUCAAGCCUCUAGUUUAGCCCUGAAUGCAUCAGCAUAAAUGAUUGUAUAAACAGGACUGUGUUAACACUUGCCAAUGAGGAUUCUGCCAAAUGUUAAUUUGAAGCCUCAGUGAAGACGCCUACUGCUGAUGCCUCUUACCGCAGACCAGAGGACUUUGUAGAACUCACUGCUGCUCGAUGUGAUCUCAGAUCUUCAUUUCCAAAUUUUGGAAGGAUUCCUUACACUCAUUAAAAUUCAUUCUUCCUCGCAGCAUCCAGAAACUAACAGAGAAUCUGAGAAGGAUAACCAACUGUUGCCGCAAUAUUUGAAAUGCAAGGCAAUUGGACUGAUCUCGUAUCUCUUGCUGAAUUUGCCUACAACAGUGCAGCAUACGUCUCUGUCUGUAGGUCCCUAUUUCAGACAAGAAUGAAAUAAAAUUACAGAAGGGAA
Molecule: non-coding RNA, 1057 nt
Organism: Pantherophis guttatus
Lineage: Eukaryota; Metazoa; Chordata; Lepidosauria; Squamata; Colubridae
Source: RefSeq, a predicted model, not a curated record